CCAUGCUCUUGUUUAAGAUUUCUUGAUAUUGUUGUACAAACAACCCCAUGAACUAGCUUUUAGCUGUUACAGAGGCUCUCCAGUAAAAAUUGGCUUGCUUUGGUUAGUUCUAAGCUGGUCUAAUGACUUCUACUUGCCAGAUAAUCACAUCAGUGCAUGCUUUAGACUAGCCUGACUCGCAUUAGCUUACAGAAUUUUCAGUCUCUCUUGCACAUUCCCCUUGCACAUCGUUGUUCCACUUAGCCUUGAAAUACUUUUGAUAGAGGGUUGACUGUGGGUACAAUUUUGCUACUAACGGAGAUUUGCAUUUUCUGUUUUUAUAUUGUCUUUUUUUUGCCCUAGAAAAUGAUGCAGAUCUCAUCAGUGCUGUAGGAGCCGUCAGUGGAGUCCUGCUGAUGCUGGCAGUAGUAUCUGCAAUUUUCUAUGUCUUCAGAUGCAAACCAGGGAAGAAUGAAACAGGUAUACAACAUAAAAUCACGUAAACCUAUACAAUAAAGAAUAUGCACCACUUUAAGAUAUGACUACCCAUUGAAAUGUGUAUGAAUGAUUAAACAUUUAUAUCAGUCAGUCAUAGACACAACACAAACCUUAUAAAAGUAGUUAAAAACUAGCUUUUAGUUGUUCCAGAGGCUCUAGAACACCAAGGAACAGCACUUGCCUUACACUGGAUGGGCUAGAAUUGGGUUUUAGCUGUUCCAGAGGCUCUAGGACACUAAGUAACAGCACUUGCCUUGCUUUUUGUUGGAUAGUGGGGUUGACAGUCAUACAAUACAUACCUUUAAAACCAGCUAAAAAUAAAAAUGUUUAAAUGUAUGCAUCUAUAUUAAAAAAAAUAUCACUAAGGAAUGUAUUUUAUCUGUCCCUGUCUUUAGAUCAUGUGCACUCAGAGGUGGACAAUGAGGAUGUUCGCUUGUAUGAGGAGAUACAGCCCUCCAAUCCUACGCAAGACGCCGACACAAUCUCCACCAAUCAGAACCCUCGUCCAGCAUGUAUCACCAUAUACUCCUCAAUAACAAAUCCAACCCCUGAAUUACACUCUGAAUACACACUGGCUACAAAUCCUAAACCAAUUACAGACUCCAGCCAAUCCGACCAAAGUUCAAACGACCCAAACUACAGUAAAAUAUAUUUCAUUAACAACAAAACUUUAGAUUCUACAGUGAGUUGCAACGAUACGACAUAUUCAACUGUUCAAAAAGUCUUAAAAGAUUAAAACUGAACAACUAAAUCUUAGCUGACUGUAGUUCAGAUUAAUCCACUAUUGGAUUUUCACAAAAUUAAUUAACCCUCAAUGGCAUGAAUUUUAUAUUUCUGAAGAAAAAUAAUGAUAGCCACCACUGCAUUAGCUUUAUUAGAAUUAUUUCUCUAACAAAUAUGGUUUAACUGUAUAUUGUUGCACAAAUGAAGGCAACAAAUAAUAAAAAAACACAUUAGCAAGUAAAUUAAUAGUAA
Molecule: long non-coding RNA, 1452 nt
Filed under: Astyanax mexicanus (Mexican tetra)
Lineage: Eukaryota; Metazoa; Chordata; Actinopteri; Characiformes; Acestrorhamphidae
Description: lncRNA (ENSAMXG00005008703.1)
Source: RNAcentral